Molecule: long non-coding RNA, 2354 nt
Organism: Oncorhynchus gorbuscha (pink salmon)
Lineage: Eukaryota; Metazoa; Chordata; Actinopteri; Salmoniformes; Salmonidae
Exons: 3
Source: RefSeq, a predicted model, not a curated record
GUUUUGAGCCUGCAAUAGAGGAGGAAAACACAUGCCUUGGGAAAAAAAACUCAUGUUCCACCCAGAUAGUUUUUCACAACAUUUCCUCUCUGCACCGGUGUCCCUCCUCUAGACCAACUUAGUUGUGAGAAAGUCUGUAUCUUUAAAGGAGGUAGCCGUAUGACUGUAUCAUUGAUUGAUAUUCUCCUAAUUAGUGAUUAACUGACGGUUCUUAGCAGGAUUGGGCUAAAUGCUGAAAUAAAAACCUGAGGUGAAGAACUAUCUUUCCCUGCAGUAGAAGUCCAUGUGAGAGGAGAGAGCUGUAUGAUAGUAGGAGGACAAGACACCAAUAAGAGACUCACAGCAGGUGGGCUUUUGUCCUCUCCAGAGCACCAACUGAAACAGACAGAAUGAACAGAGCACAAGGACUGUGUUUCACUUUACUACUACUGGGGUGUGUACAUGGGAGCAAGUCUCCUCAAAGAGAAGUGGUAUUCAGUAGAGGGAUCCAACUCUUUGUUGAAGGUUUGAACCCUUCUAAUCCCUCUGUAGUAAUCCUCUCCUCAUUUGGGCACAACCCUGGUGCCUCACCUACACUGGUGUGUAUACUCAGUGGUUUAAAAACACACCAUUUGUUGGACAUCAUUUGGUGGAUCAACGACACAGUGGUAACCCCUGAGAACAAUGCCAUUCGGAGUUCCAGGCGAAGUGAUGGCACGUACAUAACUACCGGACUGUGGACUAUGUCUGGAAAGGACUGGAAUCCCUAUAGUAACUAUGAGUGUGGAACCAGACAUGAAGGAAAGCAUUAUAGAAAUGGUACACAGCCCUCGCUUUGCAUGGAUUUUACUUGAUUACAAAUAUUUGUUAACCUAUCAAAAAUUAUCCUUAGCAUUUCAUGUACAAUCUUUACUAUUAUUAAAGUAUUCAUGAUGUUUCUUGAGUAUUUUAUUGAAAGAGCAGGUAGCCUAGUGGUUAGCUCUUUGGAAUAGUAACUGAAAGGUUGCAAGUUCAAAUCCCUGAGCUGACAAGGUACAAAUCUGUUAUUCUGCCCCUUAACAGGCAGUUAACCCACUGUUCCUAGGCUGUCAUUGAAAAUAAGAAUUUGUUCUUAACUGACUUGCCUAGUUAAAGAAAAAAUUACAAAUAAAUAAAUAAAGAUUAUCUUUCUGGUUGCCAUUACCAUAUGUCGACACUAGAUGGCGUUCACUGCCUGCAGUUGUUGAGUGAUGGUAAGUUCAUAUGCAUGGCAUCUCUGUUUCACAAACUCACUGAUUUCAACUGAGACAAUGCUGCUCUUGUUCCUGGAUGUAUCUCUCAACAACAAGCUGUUAUACAAAUGGUCAUAUGCACAAAGCUGAAUACUCUUUAGUUUAUGUUCCAAACAACAAUUUUAUUUCUGUCAGCCCUCUAAAAAUAUUUUUGAAUAAUGUAUUAAGUUCAUAAUAUCAUCAAUAAAAUAUACAAAUAAUUAACUAAUCUGCAUUGCACUUUCACAUACAAACUCACAACCACUUCUUUAUUUUGUCCUGGUCAUGCAUGCGUUUGCUUAUAUUCUUGGGGCCACUGGUUGCUGACUGAUUCCUGUGAAGAAUUAACCAACACAACCCAAUUGCCAUUAUCAGCCAAUGAAAUUGUUGUUGGAGCUCAGCUAACUGCUUGCUGUGUGAGUAAAUUCAGCAGAUUUGGGACACUUGUUGAAGAAACCUUGGAGAUAUGAGGAAUGAGAUGGGAUGGGAAAGUGUGUGUCUGUCCAAUUUGAAAGGCAACGUAUUUUGGCAGUACACCCAGAAAAAAAGUUAUAUCUAGAACCUUGGGUUCUUUGGCUGUCCCCAUAGGAUAACCCUUUCAAGAAACCUUUUUUGUUCCAGGUAGAAGAACCCUUUUGGGUUCCAUAAAGAAUCAUUUUUACAGAGAGUUCUACAUGGAACCCAAAAUGGUUCUACCUGGAUCCAAAAAAGGUUCAUCUAUAGCUAAAUAUAGGUCAGCAAAUGGGGAGUUUCUGAUUCCUACAAGAGUACAAAACAUGUAUUCAGGUAAAAAGCUUAUGUCUUAAUUAAAAUCAAAUGUUAUUUUACACAUGUGCCGAAUACAACCUUACAGUGAAAUGCUUACUUACAAGCCCUUAACCAACAAUGCAGUUUCAAGAAAAAUACCUUUAAAAAAAAGAAAUAUUAGUAACAAAUUAUUAAAGAGCAGCAGUAAAAUAACAAUAAUAUACAUGGGUUACUGGUUUAGAGUCAAUGUGCAGCACCGGUUAGUCAAGGUAGUUGAGGUAAUAUGUACAUGUAGGUAGAGUUAUUAUAGUGACUAUGCAUAGAUAAUAAACAGAGAGUAGCAGCAGCGUAAAAGAGUGUGGGUAGCCAUUUGAUUAG